This 277-nucleotide ribosomal RNA is filed under the name Acanthamoeba sp. TN_4. Its description in RNAcentral is "partial 18S ribosomal RNA". It matches the Rfam family "Eukaryotic small subunit ribosomal RNA", at positions 904 to 1095 of the family's 1831-position model. The record is from RNAcentral. Lineage: Eukaryota; Discosea; Longamoebia; Acanthamoebidae.
GUCAGAGGUGAAAUUCUUGGAUUUAUGAAAGAUUAACUUCUGCGAAAGCAUCUGCCAAGGAUGUUUUCAUUAAUCAAGAACGAAAGUUAGGGGAUCGAAGACGAUCAGAUACCGUCGUAGUCUUAACCAUAAACGAUGCCGACCAGCGAUUAGGAGACGUUGAAUACAAAACACCACCAUCGGUUGCGGUCGUCCUUGGCGUCUCGGUUUCGGCCGGGGCGCGGGGACGGUUUAGCCCGGUGGCACCGGUGAAUGACUCCCCUAGCAGCUUGUGAGA